AAUAUCCACUUCAAUUGUUGAGCAGGAGUGCGUUCAUAAACUAAAGUAUCUUGUGUUGUUGUGACGUCAGAGUAAGGCAAUUUUCACCUAGAGUGAAUGCAGAGCUUUCUGAAGUUUAUGAACGGUUGAAGUAGACUGCAACAUGACAGUUGACACUCUUGUAAUUGUUUGACAUAAAAAUAUAACCUGUCGUUUAAAGUAGCCCACCAAUUCAACAAACGAACCGUAACAAUGAAUGACAUAAUUACUAUCCCUGUUGUAUUAUCAUCGGAAAUGUUAUUUGGCAUUCCGGUUACAUAUUCUUCUGAUGAGGACAGCGAUGUAACUGAUGAAGAAAAUAUUGUUACGAUGAUGCUUAUAAAAAGUAGGAAAAUUAAGAAACCUCAACGUAUUGAGAAUUAUAUUGAAGCAACAAUUUCUGGUUAUACCAAGCAAGAAUUUCAGCAACAUUUUCGAGUAACCAUUGAGGCUUAUGAACAACUCUUACAAACAGUUGGCCCCUAUUUAAUGCGACAAGCUGCUACUGGACGAAGUACUGUUCAAGUCGAAAAACAAUUGUUGUCAGUUAUAUGGAUACUCGUAACACCCGAUUCAUACAGAUCAGUUGGAGAAAGAUUUGGACUAGCAAAGUCAUCUCUUUCACAGUGUUUCAAACGAGUAGUAAAAAUUCUAAAUGCCGUAGCACCAACUAUUAUAAAAUGGCCAGAAGGGAUGCAAUUACAAAAUGUUGAGAGAAGAUUUCAUGCAUUUGCCAGAAUGCCACACUGCAUUGGGGCCAUUGAUGGUACAUACGUGGAAAUCAAAGCUCCUAAAGAGGAUCCUCAAUCCUAUAUUACACGAAAAUGCAACUAUGCUUUUACGCUGCAAGCUAUCGCAGUACCUUCAUUGAAAUUUACAGAUGCAUUCAUUGGUUAUCCAGGAUCUGUAAGUGAUAGCAGAAUAUUUAAAAACAGUGAUUUUUAUAAUGCUGUCAAUGCCAACAUGGGUCAUUACUUUGCCGAAGAACAUUAUUUAAUUGGAGAUAAAGCAUACCCUAAUUUACCAUGGUGUAUUGCACCAUACAUAAAUAGGGGUAACCUGAAUGCAGCACAGGUAUACUUCAACACUGUACAUGCACAGACGCGCCAAGUAAUCGAACGAUCGUUUGCUCUUCUAUUUGGAAGAUUUAGGCGACUCAAGUUUUUAGACAUGAAUGAUACUAAAUUAAUUCCUGCAACUGUGAUAGCUGCAUGCGUAUUACACAAUGUCUGUCUAGACUUUCAUGAUCUCCAUAUUGAUGACUAUAUUAACAAUGGAAUUGAUUAUGUAGUAAAUAAUAAUGAUGGUGACGAUGGCAUUGGUGAAAACGUGGCAAUAGAAGGACGGAGACGACGUGAUGCUUUAUGUCGUCAAAUAUUUCUUAAUCGACAUUAAUUGUACGCUUUUCUUGUAAGUUUUUGUUAAUUGGUAUAUUUAAGUUACUUAUAGGGUUAUACCUACCUCUAUUGUAAAGUUAUCGUAAACUUCAUCUUUAACGUGUUCCAAAUUGCUGGUAUUUUUUUGUACUUCUUAAAAAUAUAUGUUAUUUAAGAAAAUCUUUUUUUUAGUGAAUAACAAAAUUAUAUUUAGUAUUUAGACAUAUUCAUAUAAAAUACAAAAACAAAACAAAAACUCUUAUUUUAAUAGUCAGUCACAAAUCGCAAGUAAUAAACGAAAAAAACAAACAUGAACUGAAAAGCAUUAUUUCUCUUCUUUUGGUGCAGUUAUUGCUUUAAUAAGAGCAUCCAUUUUAUCGGAAAAUACAUUCAACGAUUGUCUACGUAAGGCUAAUAGUUCUUCAUGACGUUGUGUGCGUCUACUUUCUCGGGAUUCCACAUUCUUAUUCAUUGUAUCUAUAAUUGUUUGCAUCGGUGUUUUUUUACCUUUAAUACUGCCGCUAAUUCUACUUUUAACUUUUAAUUGUUUGGGGGGCGUUGCCUCUUCAGGCAAAUCUUGCUCCUCCACAUCGGUGGGUACUAAAAAGCAGUAGUUAACAAUUUAAAUACAACUUUUACUGUAGUAACAAAAUAAACACGCAUUGUGUAGCCGUUAUUAUUUUAGCAGCAGUCAGCAGUAACUUACUGGUAUCCCCUCGCGAUGAGGAAGCGAUCGCAAUUGGUGAUAUAGAAUGCUUUUUUCCCAAAAAAUCAUCCAUGCUCUCGAAAUAUUCAAAAUCCAUUCGAUCUUCCCCACUUCCUCUAUUGCCCAUAUUAUCUUUUUUUGUAGCAUAUCUACUUUUUAAAUAGCGCCACUUGUCGUUGCAUUGUACCGAAGUGUACAUAAAACCCAUUUCUUUCAUUUUCGAUGCAAGUUUUUUCCAAACCACUUCGUUUUUCUGGGUUGUUGAACGAAAUUCCGGGUCCAACUCUUUCCGAAAUGCAAUUAGGUUGAUAAUUGCAUUAUGGCACCAUUUGAUUCUUUUAUCAGCCGUUCUUUUAUCUGAAUUUGAAGUCGAAGCAGACCCAGCAUCAUUAUUUUCCACAAUGACAAGGCAGCCAUCUGCGACAAUAAGUACACAAUUAGGUAGUACACUACCAACAAGACAUUAAGCUGACUUACCUGCCUGCUGCUGAAACACCAAAUAGCCUUCAUCGGUUUUCAAAGGUUCACCGUUUUCAGUGAACACCUGUUUUAACUUUUCCUCACAGCUACUCAUAGUUUUAAUUUUAUAAUCUAAUGUUUGGAAUAGUUUGAACACUUUUAUAUUAGAAUAAGUGACCGCAAAAUAACAGUCAUAGCCCAUGAAAAAAGUUCUUGUAUGCAAAUUCAAUUCAGAGCAGGUAGUGCAAAAACCGCAAAAACAUCAACAAGGUGUCAAAUGGUUGACAGCGUCAAACCAAAUACGAAUGCGCAUGUCCGGUGAAAAACGCCGGACUUUUGAGCACGGCGAUUCACGAACACUCCGGGUAUAUCACGCGACAAUUUAUGAACAGUCGCACAAUUUGUGCACGUUCAUUUGGACGGCUUUAUGAACGACUAUAGACCUAGAGUAGACUCAGAGUAUCUUUAUGAACGCACUCCAGUGUAGUUGAGUUUCGACAGGUCGGUUUUGCUGAUGGUAAAUUUCAUAAAGAAUGGUGACCGCCGUUUUUAGAAAACUCAGCCUGUCGAAGCUCAAUAAAACUGACGGUAUACGAGGAGCGGGGAGAAGUCGGAUUAAGGUUUUUACUAGAGUAACUUCGGGGUGUCCGAGGAUUUUCGGAGUGUGAGUGUGACCUGUGCCCUACCCUUUAUCUGGAUUACGGGAAGAGCAUAUGACCGCUUAACGUGCAUCUUAAAGUGGACGGAUAACUUACAAAUCAGCUUUAGAUACCUAGUGUUAACCUGUAUGUUCAUUUGAGAUGAUGGAUAUUGAUUUAGAAUUCGAUUGCUCGGAUGGAAUCAGUGCAUUUCUUCGUUCAAAAUUGGAUGAAGUUAAAUCAGUGAAUGCUCACUUAAAGUCAUCUUUACAACACCGUCAAGAAAUAGCAUCAAAUUUGCGACGAGAAAUUACAAAGAAGUACAGCCAAAAUUUUGUAAAAUUUGUGAAAGUUUGGAAGAAAUCGAUAAACGGGAAAUACGUGUUGGGGUUCGAAGUGAAGAACGAAAGCGAAUCACAAAUAAACAACAUAAAUAUCACUCUCGCGUGGUCCUCAUCUUCAGCCCUCAACUACAACUUGCAUUUACUCUCAGAUUUUUCAAGAGGAGGACUAAAAUUCACUCCGUACAUAAUGCACUCAGGAUUAGUCGCCAUCAUUUUGGAUGCUCCCUUUUUUACCGACGCUCAUUCGUACACCAUUUCUGGUUUUAUGACUUUCAAACAAAACAGCGAAAAACACAGAGUGGAGCUUCCUACAAAUGUGGAAUUGACUGCUGAAGAUAUUACAAAUAAUUCCGUUAUCGUCCAUUUAGCCAAAGUGAUGGAAGGUAGCAAAAAUGAUCUUUUUGCCUUAGCCUUAUCGGGGGUAAAGCACGAGUUUGUUAUGAUUUUUGACACAAAUCAGUUGCAAAAUAUUCUUGAAACGGAUUGUUUACUUAAAAAAGUGUGUGUCACUUGCGAAAACUGCUUUUAUGUGGCUCAUGAAAUUUGUCCUGAACUUGACGGAGUCUUAUUAGAAGUGGAAAUUGAUUCAGGAGGGACUUUCAAUUUUAAUACUUACUGCAAAAGUUUGGAGACCACCAUAGCCCUGCUUCAUUAUCUCUACAGACACAUCAUAGAUGUGGUUAUAGUUCCGAAGCCACUUUAUCAACCCGAUUUGAGUCUCAGUGACUUAACCCAGUUAUUGAAGAAGUCACUAAAUGAGGAGUUGAACAUGUUGAGACAAAAUGCAGGAGGUGAUUUGAAGGAGUUGAAAGAAAAACUGUGCGACUUGGAGCACCAGAGCGAUGUGUUAGUCGCCCGAAUAAAUCAAAAACAGAAUUGUUAACAUGGAUAUAUUCCUCAAAUUUUUUUAACAAAAGUAUAAAUAUGAAACAAAGUG
Tribolium castaneum (red flour beetle) is the source of this 4478-nucleotide RNA transcript. RefSeq lists it as uncharacterized. The record is from RefSeq and is a predicted model, not a curated record. The transcript has 6 exons. Lineage: Eukaryota; Metazoa; Arthropoda; Insecta; Coleoptera; Tenebrionidae.